UCAAACUUGGUCAUUUAGAGGAAGUAAAAGUCGUAACAAGGUCUCCGUAGGUGAACCUGCGGAGGGAUCAUUAUCGAGUGGCUGCCUCACGGCACUACCCCUUGAAACCGUGGAACGGAAGCAUGCUUUGGCGUCGUCGACGCCAGAUUUAUGCCGAAAGUGAGUUUGGCUCUGAACGAGACAUGAAAUCAAAACUUUCAACAAAGGAUCUCUUGGCUCUUGCAUCGAUGAAGAACGCAGC
Molecule: unclassified non-coding RNA, 241 nt
Filed under: uncultured fungus
Lineage: Eukaryota; Fungi
Description: partial contains small subunit ribosomal RNA, internal transcribed spacer 1, and 5.8S ribosomal RNA
Rfam family: Eukaryotic small subunit ribosomal RNA (bases 1-73)
Source: RNAcentral